AUGCGGCGUCGGACUAGCGGAUCCACGCUGCUCCUCCACCUCCCGACCAAUGCCCCCGGCCCGUCCUGCUGCUCACCUCCUCCUCGCAUAUGCAUCAACAAAACAUGGCAGCCGCUGCAGUCCACAUCGUUCAACAGUAGCAGGUCAACUCCUCCAAGGUCACACAAGCUCGCCGCCAAAAGCCCACGGUCUAUUGAGCCAGAGAUGGCACUGGACGCUGCCGCGGCCGGUCAUCUGGAUCGGAGCCACCAACCCAUGUCCGCACAGAGGGGGCUGGUAGCAGCCCCGUUGAUGGGGAUUGGGCACUAUCUGCAGCUACAAGUGGCAUCGACCUGCAGCUGCAGGGAGCGUCGACUUGCAGCUGGAGGAGGUGUCGACCUAAAGCUCGCCACCCACGCCACUAUGACCUACUGCCACAACGGUCCACCACCUACAGCCGGCGCCGCAGCGCCUCGGCCGUUCAACUAUGCCACCUCAGGCCGUUCAACUAUGCCCCCCGCCAUCGUCGACUCCAUUUGCUUCCUUCCGCUGUACGCGGCCAGCUCCAUGAGCUACUCGCCUCUACUCUGUUUAGAAGAGCGUCGUGAGCUCGUCCAACUAUGGCUGCUUCUCUGCUGUGUCAUGCCGUUAAAUAAUGCCAUGCAAUCAUCAGGUGAAAACCUGCAGGUGACAACUCCUGUUGUGGCCAUUUCUGCUCGGGCAGAUCCCGCUCCUGUUGAGAAUAGCAGCACACAAAAGGCUCAAGUUGUCGAUUAG
RNAcentral lists this ribosomal RNA (756 nucleotides) under Triticum aestivum (bread wheat). RNAcentral's name for it is "partial small subunit ribosomal RNA". Lineage: Eukaryota; Viridiplantae; Streptophyta; Magnoliopsida; Poales; Poaceae. The record is from RNAcentral.